CUGGUGGGCUGUGACCUGUCAUUGUUUGUGGCUGCAGAGAUACCCAGGCCCUUUACUUCCUCUGGGAUAAGAGCAGGGUGCAACCUCCAAAACCAUUAACAAUGUUCUGUCUGGGGGGAGGCCAGAGAGGCUGAAUGGAUGUUGUUGUGAUGGAGAUGUGAAAGAGGGCUAGUAUCUCCACAGCUGUCUUGAAUUUCUCUGACGGGACAGUAGCCAAGGUGACCAUAAAGAUAUUAAUUUAUAACUUAUCAGAACUGACUGGCUGUUUAAACCCUACAUAUGUUUGUAUUGAAUGAGUCUAGGGUCAGGGCAUUUUUGUACUUUCCUCUUUCCCUCUGAAAUGUAAAUACAUUUCUUCAUGUGAUGACCGAUUUACUUCAAUCCACAAAGCACAGAUUGGAUGUGUCAUAAAAUAGCUAAAUCCCAGCUGGGUGGUCCCAGCAUGGAGCAUUUACACAGUUCUUCAGAAACAGCUCUUCUUG
Molecule: long non-coding RNA, 482 nt
Filed under: Anas platyrhynchos platyrhynchos (common mallard)
Lineage: Eukaryota; Metazoa; Chordata; Aves; Anseriformes; Anatidae
Description: lncRNA (ENSAPLG00000024856.1)
Source: RNAcentral